GAUGAACGCUGGCGGCGUGCCUAAUACAUGCAGGUCGAGCGAACGGACGAGAAGCUUGCUUCUCUGAUGUUAGCGGCGGACGGGUGAGUAACACGUGGAUAACCUACCUAUAAGACUGGGAUAACUUCGGGAAACCGGAGCUAAUACCGGAUAAUAUUUUGAACCGCAUGGUUCAAAAGUGAAGGACGGUCUUGCUGUCACUUAUAGAUGGAUCCGCGCUGCAUUAGCUAGUUGGUAAGGUAACGGCUUACCAAGGCAACGAUGCAUAGCCGACCUGAGAGGGUGAUCGGCCACACUGGAACUGAGACACGGUCCAGACUCCUACGGGAGGCAGCAGUAGGGAAUCUUCCGCAAUGGGCGAAAGCCUGACGGAGCAACGCCGCGUGAGUGAUGAAGGUCUUCGGAUCGUAAAACUCUGUUAUUAGGGAAGAACAUAUGUGUAAGUAACUGUGCACAUCUUGACGGUACCUAAUCAGAAAGCCACGGCUAACUACGUG
This 497-nucleotide ribosomal RNA is filed under the name uncultured bacterium. RNAcentral describes it as "partial 16S ribosomal RNA". It matches the Rfam family "Bacterial small subunit ribosomal RNA", at positions 28 to 507 of the family's 1533-position model. The record is from RNAcentral.